CAGCAGCCGCGGUAAUACGAAGGGUGCAAGCGUUACUCGGAAUUACUGGGCGUAAAGCGUGUGUAGGUGGUUGUUUAAGUCUGUCGUGAAAGCCCUGGGCUCAACCUGGGAAUUGCGAUGGAUACUGGGCGACUAGAGUGCGGUAGAGGAUAGUGGAAUUUCCGGUGUAGCAGUGAAAUGCGUAGAGAUCGGAAGGAACAUCUGUGGCGAAGGCGACUAUCUGGGCCAACACUGACACUGAGACACGAAAGCGUGGGGAGCAAACAGGAUUAGAUACCCGCGUAGUCCCUGUCUCUUAUAA
RNAcentral lists this ribosomal RNA (301 nucleotides) under uncultured bacterium. RNAcentral's name for it is "partial 16S ribosomal RNA". It matches the Rfam family "Bacterial small subunit ribosomal RNA", at positions 509 to 809 of the family's 1533-position model. The record is from RNAcentral.